Molecule: ribosomal RNA, 352 nt
Filed under: Nosema granulosis
Lineage: Eukaryota; Fungi; Microsporidia; Nosematidae
Description: SSU rRNA
Rfam family: Microsporidia small subunit ribosomal RNA
Source: RNAcentral
UUUAUUGAAUAUAAAGAAAAGACGAACAGCUCAGUAACUCUUAUUUUAUUUGAUGUAUUAGGAUUAUAACUAUGUUAAAUUAUAGAUAACAAUAAUACAAUAAGAAUAAGAUCUAUCAGUUAGUUGUUAAGGUAAUGGCUUAACAAGACUAUGACGGAUAACGGUAUUACUUUGUAAUAUUCCGGAGAAGGAGCCUGAGAGAUUGCUACUAAGUCUAAGGAUUGCAGCAGGGGCGAAACUUGACCUAUGAUAUGAUAUUGAGGCAGUUAUGAGUAGUAUUUUUAAUUAUUGUAGUAUUGUAAGUAUAUACUACAAGAUAAAUCGGAGGGCAAAUCGAGUGCCAGCAGCCGCG